This 926-nucleotide ribosomal RNA is filed under the name Periconia macrospinosa. RNAcentral describes it as "partial large subunit ribosomal RNA". It matches the Rfam family "Eukaryotic large subunit ribosomal RNA", at positions 29 to 972 of the family's 3401-position model. Lineage: Eukaryota; Fungi; Ascomycota; Dothideomycetes; Pleosporales; Periconiaceae. The record is from RNAcentral.
UUGACUUAAGCAUAUCAAUAAGCGGAGGAAAAAGAAACCAACAGGGAUUGCCCUAGUAACGGCGAGUGAAGCGGCAACAGCUCAAAUUUGAAAUCUGGCCCCUUUGGGGUCCGAGUUGUAAUUUGCAGAGGGUGCUUUGGCGUUGGCGGCGGUCUAAGUUCCUUGGAACAGGACAUCGCAGAGGGUGAGAAUCCCGUAUGUGGUCGCAUGCCUUCGCCGUGUAAAGCCCCUUCGACGAGUCGAGUUGUUUGGGAAUGCAGCUCUAAAUGGGAGGUAAAUUUCUUCUAAAGCUAAAUACCGGCCAGAGACCGAUAGCGCACAAGUAGAGUGAUCGAAAGAUGAAAAGCACUUUGGAAAGAGAGUCAAACAGCACGUGAAAUUGUUGAAAGGGAAGCGCUUGCAGCCAGACUUGCCUGUAGUUGCUCACCCGGGCUCCUGCCCGGGGCACUCUUCUGCAGGCAGGCCAGCAUCAGUUUGGGCGGUCGGAUAAAGGGCUCUGACACGUACUUCCCCUCGGGGUUGACAUACAGGGGAGCCGCAAUGCGACCAGCCCGGACUGAGGUCCGCGCAUCUGCUAGGAUGCUGGCGUAAUGGCUGUAAGCGGCCCGUCUUGAAACACGGACCAAGGAGUCUAACAUCUAUGCGAGUGUUUGGGUGUCAAGCCCGAGCGCGCAAUGAAAGUGAACGGAGGUGGGAGCCCCUCGGGGUGCACCAUCGACCGAUCCUGAUGUCUUCGGAUGGAUUUGAGUAAGAGCAUAGCUGUUGGGACCCGAAAGAUGGUGAACUAUGCUUGAAUAGGGUGAAGCCAGAGGAAACUCUGGUGGAGGCUCGCAGCGGUUCUGACGUGCAAAUCGAUCGUCAAAUUUGGGCAUAGGGGCGAAAGACUAAUCGAACUAUCUAGUAGCUGGUUCCUGCCGAAGUUUCCC